UGAGGAAUUUUGCGCAAUGGGGGAAACCCUGACGCAGCAACGCCGCGUGAGUGAUGAAGGCUUUCGGGUCGUAAAGCUCUGUCAAGUGGGAAGAACAAACCUGAUGCUAAUACCAUCAGGGACUGACGGUACCACUGAAGGAAGCACCGGCUAACUCCGUGCCAGCAGCCGCGGUAAUACGGGGGGUGCAAGCGUUAUUCGGAAUCAUUGGGCGUAAAGAGCGCGUAGGCGGCCCAUUAAGUCAGAUGUGAAAUCCCGGGGCUUAACCCCGGAAGUGCAUUUGAAACUAUUGGGCUUGAGUAUGGGAGAGGGAAGUGGAAUUCCUGGUGUAGAGGUGAAAUUCGUAGAUAUCAGGAGGAACAUCGGUGGCGAAGGCGACUUCCUGGACCAAUACUGACGCUGAGGCGCGAAGGCGUGGGGAGCAAACAGGAUUAGAUACCCUGGUAGUCCACGCAGUAAACGUUGAACACUAGGUGUAGCGGGUAUUGACCCCUGCUGUGCCGCAGUUAACGCAUUAAGUUGACCGCCUGGGGAGUACGGCCGCAAGGUUA
This 551-nucleotide ribosomal RNA is filed under the name uncultured bacterium. RNAcentral describes it as "bacterial SSU rRNA". It matches the Rfam family "Bacterial small subunit ribosomal RNA", at positions 355 to 896 of the family's 1533-position model. The record is from RNAcentral.